AGCAGCCGCGGUAAUUCCAGCUCCAAUAGCGUAUAUUAAAGUUGUUGCAGUUAAAAAGCUCGUAGUUGAAUUUCGGGAUCAGUUCGUUGGUCGUGCUUCGGUACGUACUGUCAUUACUGGUUUCUCCUUUCUGAAGAACCUUGAUGUCAUUAAUUUGGUGUCUUGGGGAAUCAGGACUGUUACUUUGAAAAAAUUAGAGUGUUUAAAGCAGGCAUACGCUUGAAUACAUUAGUAUGGAAUAAUGAAAUAGGACGUUUGAUUCUAUUUUGUUGGUUUCUAGGAUCGACGUAAUGAUUAAUAGGGAUAGUUGGGGGCAUUAGUAUUCAAUUGUCAGAGGUGAAAUUCUUGGAUUUAUUGAAGACUAACUACUGCGAAAGCAUUUGCCAAGGAUGUUUUCAUUAAUCAAGAACGAAAGUUAGGGGAUCGAAGACGAUCAGAUACCGUCGUAGUCUUAACCAUAAACUAUAGCCGACUAGGGAUCGGAUGAUGUAUUUUAAUGACUCAUUCGGCGCCUUACGGG
This 520-nucleotide ribosomal RNA is filed under the name uncultured Glomus. RNAcentral's name for it is "SSU rRNA". It matches the Rfam family "Eukaryotic small subunit ribosomal RNA", at positions 569 to 1094 of the family's 1831-position model. The record is from RNAcentral. Lineage: Eukaryota; Fungi; Glomeromycota; Glomeromycetes; Glomerales; Glomeraceae.